GAUGAACGCUGGCGGCGUGCCUAAUACAUGCAAGUCGAGCGAACAGACGAGGAGCUUGCUCCUCUGACGUUAGCGACGGACGGGUGAGUAACACGUGGAUAACCUACCUGUAAGACUGGGAUAACUUCGGGAAACCGGAGCUAAUACCGGAUAAUAUAUUGAACCGCAUGGUUCAAUAGUGAAAGACGGUUUUGCUGUCACUUAUAGAUGGAUCCGCGCCGCAUUAGCUAGUUGGUAAGGUAACGGCUUACCAAGGCGACGAUGCGUAGCCGACCUGAGAGGGUGAUCGGCCACACUGGAACUGAGACACGGUCCAGACUCCUACGGGAGGCAGCAGUAGGGAAUCUUCCGCAAUGGGCGAAAGCCUGACGGAGCAACGCCGCGUGAGUGAUGAAGGUCUUCGGAUCGUAAAACUCUGUUAUUAGGGAAGAACAAAUGUGUAAGUAACUAUGCACGUCUUGACGGUACCUAAUCAGAAAGCCACGGCUAACUACGUG
Molecule: ribosomal RNA, 497 nt
Filed under: uncultured bacterium
Lineage: Bacteria
Description: partial 16S ribosomal RNA
Rfam family: Bacterial small subunit ribosomal RNA
Source: RNAcentral